RNAcentral lists this long non-coding RNA (414 nucleotides) under Coffea arabica (coffee). RNAcentral's name for it is "long non-coding RNA (CARA_LNC002854)". Lineage: Eukaryota; Viridiplantae; Streptophyta; Magnoliopsida; Gentianales; Rubiaceae. The record is from RNAcentral.
AAGAAACAGCCUUUACUCUAUAUCGGUUCAAGUUGGGAAAUUUCCAGUAAUGAAACAAGUUUCUACUACCUAGUUCUACUUCAAUCCAGCCCCAAACCAUACAUGCAUCAAAAUCCCUCUAAAGUAUAUAGAAAGGUUGUGGUUUCUAGCCAUUUUACCUUAUUUUGUUACCCAAACUCAAACUGGAAGCCAGCUCAUCUUCCUACUUUCUCCUCAGCUGGAAAUGGAGAAAGAAAUUCUGGUUUCUUUUGGCUACAAAUGGUGCAAGAAACUCUGGUUUCUCUCUCAGUUGAAGUGGAGACAAAAAGCUCUGGUUUCACUCUAGUUAUCUCUCAACUCUUUCUCUCAAUUAGAAAUGGAACAAGACAAGGAUCGAGAAUUGCUCUCAACUCUCUCUCAAGUGCUCUUGGUUGG